UCAUUUAUAAUGAUAAAUUUUUUACAGAAUGAGAAGAGAAAGGAUAAAAUGUCAGUAGAAACCUAGAUACAGAAGUAGGUGCAAUUUAUAAGUACACCAGGUACUAGUUUCCAAUACAACUAUUGUUGUAGAAGUGAGGUAUAAUCAGGCCAAUAGAAACAAUGAUUUGGUAAACCAUAGCCUAACCUAGUACUUGGCAAGCAAUCAUUAUAACAUUAUUAAAUUCCACUUCCAUGUCACACAGCCAAAGCUAGGCAAACAGGAUAGGUUUAUAGUGGGUCAAUAAAACAAGGGAAAACUACGACCAAGUUAAUAUUUGAGCGUGUUGUUUCGUUUCAUCUCCACUUCCCUCUUUCAUCACAGCCAAAAUUGUAGUCCCGGGAUUUAGCUAGACAUGGAACACUGAAAAAUCCAUAUGAACCUGCACGUAGUUUUAUUAGAAAAUUCAAUCACAGGACACAAGAUCAUCUUCAUGCAGUUAGUUAGAUGUGACAGGCCAACUAACCAAAUAAUUGUAUUCGGAUAGCAGUAUAACAUCAUGAUUGUGUUCUUCCAUCAACGGAUACUGUACAGAGUUAUUCUUUAUCUGAUUUCACUGUUAACAGAAGAUCUUCAAGCAUAUUUGUUUAGGGAAAAUACAUGGAUAGAGGCAUUGCAAAAAUAAUAAUGCCGAAAAGAAGCUGCAGAGAGAAUGAAACUGAAGAUCAAUAUUGAAUCGCAACCUAACAAAAAGACGAGAAGGAAUCACUUGAAAGUUAAAAGGUAUUUGAAAAUCACUUGAAAUCAGAAUAACUUCUCAUGAGAAUAAUUAAACUAAGCAUUCCCCAACAUUUAAGGCCAAUAAACUUAACUAGUAAAAAACAGCAAAGCAUCUUUCCAUAUUCUAUAAAGCAUGACAUAACUAUUAUCCGGUUUACCAUAAUUCCUCUAAAUAGGUCCUCUUAUGUGUAAAGGGGGAUCUCUCUUUUUUUUUUUUUUUUUUUUUUUUAAUUUUCAGUGUAAUGGUCUUAUUCCAGUUUGAAAAGGAGAAAGCUCCUUUGGGGGCAUACACGUAAACCUUGGUUCUAGGGUGAUUCUUGACUUUCUUCAGAAAAAAGAACCUAACAGAAACAUUUCCGAAAAGAUUAAGUGAAGUGUCCAGACUAAUGUAAGAGAAAAAGGAUAUACAAGAGGACUAAAAGGGAUAGCUACGUUUAUGAUAUCAUCCGCAUAUUUCAUAAAUCACAGAACCAGAAAAUACGUUACCACCAGGAUCCAAUUUUGAAAAGUCUUAAAGAUCACCCAAAAGUAAUCUUGUCACACCGACUAUUUUACCAAACCUGGAUUGAGGGAUUAAUUUAUUGCAUAUUGUUUUAGAUAAAUAAAAUAAUCGACCAUGACAAUUAAUAAAUGGAAGAAUGAAAAUCAUAGAUGGGAAAAAAUAC
This 1424-nucleotide long non-coding RNA is filed under the name Vigna radiata. Its description in RNAcentral is "long non-coding RNA (VRAD_LNC003192)". Lineage: Eukaryota; Viridiplantae; Streptophyta; Magnoliopsida; Fabales; Fabaceae. The record is from RNAcentral.